UACAGAGGGGGCGAGCGUUGUUCGGAAUUACUGGGCGUAAAGGGCGCGUAGGCGGCCCGCUAAGUCGAACGUGAAAUCCCCAGGCUCAACCUGGGAACUGCGUCCGAUACUGGCAGGCUUGAAUCCGGGGGAGGGAUGUGGAAUUCCAGGUGUAGCGGUGGAAUGCGCAGAUAUCAGGAGGAACACCAAUGGCGAAGGCAGCUCUCUGGUACAUGAUUGACGCUGAGACGCGAAAGCGUGGGGAGCGAACAGG
Molecule: ribosomal RNA, 253 nt
Filed under: uncultured bacterium
Lineage: Bacteria
Description: partial 16S ribosomal RNA
Rfam family: Bacterial small subunit ribosomal RNA
Source: RNAcentral